Molecule: ribosomal RNA, 359 nt
Filed under: Klebsiella pneumoniae
Lineage: Bacteria; Pseudomonadati; Pseudomonadota; Gammaproteobacteria; Enterobacterales; Enterobacteriaceae
Description: partial 23S ribosomal RNA
Rfam family: Bacterial large subunit ribosomal RNA
Source: RNAcentral
AGAAGGCUAUGUUAGCCGGGCGACGGUUGUCCCGGUUUAAGCAUGUAGGCUGGUUGUCCAGGCAAAUCCGGAUAAUCAAGGCUGAGGUGUGAUGACGAGGCACUACGGUGCUGAAGUAACAAAUGCCCUGCUUCCAGGAAAAGCCUCUAAGCAUCAGGUAACAUCAAAUCGUACCCCAAACCGACACAGGUGGUCAGGUAGAGAAUACCAAGGCGCUUGAGAGAACUCGGGUGAAGGAACUAGGCAAAAUGGUGCCGUAACUUCGGGAGAAGGCACGCUGGUGUGUAGGUGAAGUCCCUGCGGAUGGAGCUGAGACCAGUCGAAGAUACCAGCUGGCUGCAACUGUUUAUUAAAAACAC